RNAcentral lists this long non-coding RNA (208 nucleotides) under Elaeis guineensis (African oil palm). Its description in RNAcentral is "long non-coding RNA (EGUI_LNC072291)". Lineage: Eukaryota; Viridiplantae; Streptophyta; Magnoliopsida; Arecales; Arecaceae. The record is from RNAcentral.
CUUAUAUUGUGGCUCAUUGUCUGUGAUGACCUGCAUGACAUACUGUUCACCUACUAAAUCAAUCAUCUCCUCCAUCAGACCAAGGAUAUAUGUGGCAUUGUACGUCUUAUCUGAAGCAUCAAUUGAUUUGUGAAAAAAAAAAAUUUCACAGUAUGUCAAAAAAUUAAUGAUGCUCCAUCUAGUAGGACUAGUCCAACCAUCACACAUC